RNAcentral lists this long non-coding RNA (1780 nucleotides) under Rhagoletis pomonella (apple maggot). RNAcentral's name for it is "uncharacterized LOC118747481". The record is from RNAcentral. Lineage: Eukaryota; Metazoa; Arthropoda; Insecta; Diptera; Tephritidae.
CCAUGGAGCAUCAGGCCUUGGACCCCAUUGCGACACGCCUUAACCGACUCCAAUCGGGACCGAAAUUUGUAUGGUAUUAUUAUCUGUGACCCCAGUAUUACCGAUUGAAGAGUAUCUCAGUUAUAUGUUUGAGACCAAUUGGAGAAUCACCUAGGAGGUCAAGUUGAGGACCAGCUUUUUCUCAACUUGAGAAACAGUCUUUUUUUCAUACAAAGAAAAACUCCCGUUUUGUUGAGAACGCUUUAAGUGCGGGUGCCCUUCGUUCUAUCGAAGAAAUUUGGCGAACUGUGAAGCCCCAUUGUAUGUUAGAUUUAUUUAUGUAGUACAAAGAAUGCCGAAAGAUUGAUCUUAAUGCCGUAAGAACGCCCUAAUAGCCUCAAAGCGCUCGGGAUAUGCUAUUCUGGGCGAGCUUGGACAUUCACUAAACAUAAAAAAAGUGUCUUGGUUCUGUUAUAUUUUCCAUUCAACUGUCAGCUUGGCUUCUGCUGCUUACAUUGGACAAUUCGUCGUUUGUGGUUCGUCGUUACGCUUUUUGAUUAUCGAUUUCAUUCUUUUGUAAAUUUAUUAGUUUCUCGAGCGAAGCACAACAAAAUAUGGGUGGCAUUGGCAUGCAAAACAAUUUAUGUGCCCCAAGCGUGCCAGCGUGCAGAAAAGAAGAGGAGAAUAAUGAAUAGCGAAGAGAUGAAUGAACAAGCAGAAAGCCGUGAAGUGGAAAGUAAUUGAAGGGCUUUUUUUUUGCGCUCUCUCUCUAUAAACCAGAAUAACAGUAAAGAAUACUUUUCUUUUUGUUCGUAAUGUAGUAAUUCAAUCCAAGAUCGCAAUAUGUACGAAGAAGACAAUCCAAAGUGCAUUUAUUUGAAUAGAAACCAAGAAACGGAAGCACGAAACAAUAAAUUGCAAUAACGGAUGGCUAGAAAUGCGAGAUUUCAUUCAGCUAACUUUGCUACGAACAAUUUUUCCUUCCACAUCGAAACGAAGGCAUCACCACCCGCAAUUGUCUGUUAUGCUCGAGACUAACCACUACACCUACAUACAUAUGUACGAAUGAGCGCAGUUAUCAAUUAACCAGUUCCAAGUAUGUACCCUCUUCAGCCAAAUAGUAAACAUCUCAUCAAAAGGUCAAACACUGAUUGGCAGCUGAAUGCCCUCCCAACAGCCGUGGCAUCGUUUAUACAAAGUUGAAAAACUAAGCGCGCCUCCAACAACAACAAAGAGGCCAAGUGAUCAUGGAUCACCUUCAUAGAACACGCCGCAAAAUAAUUCGAUUAAUCAUUCGAGUGCUCAGGUUUCCGAGUAGUUUGUCUACACUUUUUUCAUUUGAAAAAAAAAAAUUAAUUUUCAACAGCAACUGGGCAGAGAUCAGCAGCAAUGCCGCCGUCACUCGCUUACUCGCUGAUGCUGAUUUGUAAAUACACCUCAGCGUAAAUUAAACAGAAAAUCUUAAUUAAUAAUUCCGUUGUGCGGCGAACAAACGGCCAGCAAGCAGGCGGACGAGCAGAGGCGCACACGGUAGGCUGCGAUCAUCAACAUCACCCAUGCGAAAAAGUGCGAUUAAAAAUGGUUGGGUAUCAGAUUAUUUGGCUUGGCUUGAAAUUUGGCCCCUGCCACAUAUCGAAUGAACAAGGCUAGUUUCGCAGUAUGGAAUCGGGGCUAUUUUAAUUAAUUUUUUGAUAUUUUUUUUUUUUAGUUGAUUGUUGAAUCGCUUUAUUAUAAACGAUCUGCAAGUACAUACAUAUGUAUGUAUGUAAAUAUAUGUAAAUAUUUUUCCAAUUGCAACAAA